GACGAACGCUGGCGGCGUGCUUAACACAUGCAAGUCGAACGGAAAGGCCUCUUUCGGGGGGUACUCGAGUGGCGAACGGGUGAGUAACACGUGAGUAACCUGCCCUUGACUUUGGGAUAACUUCAGGAAAGUGGGGCUAAUACCGGAUAGGAGCUCCUGCUGCAUGGUGGGGGUUGGAAAGUUUCGGCGGUUGGGGAUGGACUCGCGGCUUAUCAGCUUGUUGGUGGGGUAGUGGCUUACCAAGGCUUUGACGGGUAGCCGGCCUGAGAGGGUGACCGGCCACAUUGGGACUGAGAUACGGCCCAGACUCCUACGGGAGGCAGCAGUGGGGAAUAUUGCACAAUGGGUGGAAGCCUGAUGCAGCAACGCCGUGUGCGGGAUGACGGCCUUCGGGUUGUAAACCGCUUUCGCUCAUGACGAAGCUUUGUGUGACGGUAGUGGGUAAAGAAGCACCGGCUAACUACGUG
RNAcentral lists this ribosomal RNA (467 nucleotides) under uncultured bacterium. RNAcentral's name for it is "partial 16S ribosomal RNA". It matches the Rfam family "Bacterial small subunit ribosomal RNA", at positions 28 to 507 of the family's 1533-position model. The record is from RNAcentral.